Lolium rigidum is the source of this 1199-nucleotide RNA transcript. It is a transcript of the gene named serine/arginine-rich-splicing factor SR34-like, with no coding region annotated. The transcript is spliced from 13 exons. The record is from RefSeq and is a predicted model, not a curated record. NCBI's taxonomy places the organism in Eukaryota, Viridiplantae, Streptophyta, Magnoliopsida, Poales, Poaceae.
AGAAACGAUGAGUCGACGGAACGGCUGCACCAUCUACGUGGGCAAUCUCCCCGAAGACAUCCGGGAGAGGGAAAUCGAGGAUCUCUUCUACAAGUAUGGCCCUAUCGUGGACAUCGACUUGAAAAUUCCUCCAAGGCCUCCUGUUUUUGCUUUUGUUGAGUUUGAAGACCCACGUGAUGCUGACGAUGCGAUUUAUGGCCGUGAUGGAUAUGAUUUCGAUGGCCAGAGGUUGCGGGUGGAGUUAGCUCACGGUGGAAGAGGCGCUUCUUUUGAUCGAUCAAGCAGCUAUGGCAGUUCUGGACGCCGUGGUGCAGCUAGACGUUCUGAUUACCGUGUUAUGGUUACUGGAUUACCUUCUUCCGCAUCAUGGCAAGAUCUCAAGGAUCAUAUGCGGCGAGCUGGUGAUGUCUGUUUCUCUGAUGUUUAUCGUGAGGCUGGAGCAAUUACUGGAAUAGUUGAAUAUACCAAUUAUGAAGAUAUGAAACAUGCGAUAAGGAAGCUUGAUGAUUCAGAGUUCCGUAAUGCGUUUUCACGAUCGUAUAUCAGGGUGAGGGAGUACAAUACUAAGCGUAGCCGCUCUUACUCCAGAAGCAGAAGCCCCAGCUGCUCGUACUCGAGAAGCAGAAGUCGCAGUUAUAGCAGGAGUCCAAGAGCUGCUUCUCGGUCUCCGUCACCUGUUAAAGCAAGGUAUGACCAGUUUCAUUCCGGUAGGGAGUGUAUUGAAGUUUGACAACGCUAGCUAUCUGCAUCUUUGGUACCGAGAAAGCACACACUAAGGAAAUGAUGCUAUCAGGUUCUUACUGUUUUGUUCAGUAAGUAUUUUGAAUGAUCUGAUGAGCUUGUGUUGUCCCAACUAAGGAACUACAAUGAAAAGAGCUGUUAACAAGAAGUAAAAAUGACCCGCAAAAUCAAAAGAAAAAAGGCCUUUACCUUUUAACUUCUAGAAUUCUGUUCUGGUUUGCUCCGUGUCUUACGUUUGCUGUACAUUGUUUUUCCCAACACGGCCUUUUGAGAUGGCAACUGGACUACAACCAGCGCUAGGAGGGCUGGCACUAAGCAUGUAUGCUAUGGAUUUUGUGGUAUAUUGGUCAUCAUCAAGAUCCCUAUCACCUGCCGCUCCCCCUCACGACAAGUCUGCGAGCAGGAGCCCCACCAGGAGCAGAAGUUUGUCCCCAUCUAAGUCUCCUGUGAAAUCUGAC